CUUUGGCGCUUUAGCUGUAUGA
Molecule: microRNA, 22 nt
Filed under: Aedes aegypti (yellow fever mosquito)
Lineage: Eukaryota; Metazoa; Arthropoda; Insecta; Diptera; Culicidae
Description: Aae-Mir-9-P12-v2_5p* (star (passenger))
Source: RNAcentral